GGUUCAGGAUGAACGCUAGCUACAGGCUUAACACAUGCAAGUCGAGGGGCAGCAUUAAGUUAGCUUGCUAACUUAGAUGGCGACCGGCGCACGGGUGAGUAACGCGUAUCCAACCUUCCCCCUGCUCAGGGAUAGCCCGCUGAAAGGCGGAUUAACACCUGAUAGCUUCACUAGAUGGCAUCUGACGGUGAAUAAAGAUAACGGCAAGGGAUGGGGAUGCGUCUGAUUAGCUUGUUGGCGGGGUAACGGCCCACCAAGGCAACGAUCAGUAGGGGUUCUGAGAGGAAGGUCCCCCACAUUGGAACUGAGACACGGUCCAAACUCCUACGGGAGGCAGCAGUGAGGAAUAUUGGUCAAUGGGCGGAAGCCUGAACCAGCCAAGUAAGCGUGCAGGAUGACGGCCCUAUGGGUUGUAAACUGCUUUUGUACGGGAAUAAAGUGACCCACGUGUGGGUUUUUGCAUGUACCGUAAGAAUAAGGACCGGCUAAUUCCGUGCCAGCCGCCGC
This 507-nucleotide ribosomal RNA is filed under the name uncultured bacterium. Its description in RNAcentral is "bacterial SSU rRNA". It matches the Rfam family "Bacterial small subunit ribosomal RNA", at positions 21 to 518 of the family's 1533-position model. The record is from RNAcentral.